Molecule: ribosomal RNA, 484 nt
Filed under: uncultured bacterium
Lineage: Bacteria
Description: partial 16S ribosomal RNA
Rfam family: Bacterial small subunit ribosomal RNA
Source: RNAcentral
AUUGAACGCUGGCGGCAGGCCUAACACAUGCAAGUCGAGCGGAUGAAGGGAGCUUUCUCCUGGAUUCAGCGGCGGACGGGUGAGUAAUGCCUAGGAAUCUGCCUGGUUGUGGGGGAUAACGUCCGGAAAAGGGCGCUAAUACCGCAUGAGUCCUGAGGGAGAAAGUGGGGGGUCUUUGGAACGUACGCUAUCAGAUGAGCCUAGGUCGGAUUAGCUAGUUGGUGGGGUAAAGGCCUACCAAGGCGACGAUCCGUAACUGGUCUGAGAGGAUGAUCAGUCACACUGGAACUGAGACACGGUCCAGACUCCUACGGGAGGCAGCAGUGGGGAAUAUUGGACAAUGGGCGAAAGCCUGAUCCAGCCAUGCCGCGUGUGUGAAGAAGGUCUUCGGAUUGUAAAGCACUUUAAGUUGGGAGGAAGGGCAGUAAGUUAAUACCUUGCUGUUUUGACGUUACCAACAGAAUAAGCACCGGCUAACUUCGUG